GCAAUUUCUAGCAACUGAAGGCGUAUGUGUCGUUAAAGUCGUAGCUAGAUUUAUUGUAAUUAUACCCAAAGCUUUCUCUCACUCAAACUUUACAACACUAAACUUGUUCAUCCUAAACUAUUAGAGAAAUCUCGAGAAAUCCAUAAGAUAAAUCUUAGAGAAAUCCACAAGAGAAAUCUCACAGAAAAUCAUUGAAGCUCUUAUCUCAAUUUCAGAAAACUUUCUUUCAAUUUAAAACUUUCAUCUUUGAUGCUCUCUAUUUCAGCAAAAUCCAUAAGAGAAAUCUACGAGAAGUCCAUAAGAGAAAUCUCACAGAAAAUCAUUGAAGCUCUCAUCUCAAUUUCAGAAAACUUCUUUUCAAUUUGAAACUUUCAUCUUUGAUACUCUCUAUUUCAGGACCGAGUACCAAUUAUCACUUCUGUCAUUUAAGCCAGUAGUAGCCAGGAUUCAGAGGAGAAGGAACUAGCGUUUCUCCACACUCUCCUCCCCGUGGCUAAGUUGAUCGUUGAAGGCUAUCACUUUUGGUGAGUUCCCAUGUUCCGAGAACAACACUUCUAACCUAUCUAGCUUAUAUUAUAUUUAGACAUUUGAGUUACAUUUUGGUAUUUUGACUUAAUCUUGAGGGUGAUCUAGGGACAUGUCUUAGCCCCCGCCAAGUAUUAAUGUAGAAGAUAUUGUUAGAUGUAGUAAGGGAAGAUAUGUUGACUUUGACUCUUAUUGAG
Molecule: long non-coding RNA, 722 nt
Organism: Solanum dulcamara
Lineage: Eukaryota; Viridiplantae; Streptophyta; Magnoliopsida; Solanales; Solanaceae
Exons: 4
Source: RefSeq, a predicted model, not a curated record